This 675-nucleotide ribosomal RNA is filed under the name Pseudomonas aeruginosa. RNAcentral describes it as "bacterial SSU rRNA". It matches the Rfam family "Bacterial small subunit ribosomal RNA", at positions 96 to 778 of the family's 1533-position model. Lineage: Bacteria; Pseudomonadati; Pseudomonadota; Gammaproteobacteria; Pseudomonadales; Pseudomonadaceae. The record is from RNAcentral.
CGGAGGAUGAGUGAGGACAAGGAAUCUGCAUGGUAGUGGGGGAUAACGUCCGGAAACGGGCGCUAAUACCGCAUACGUCCUGAUGGAAAAAAUGGGGGAUCUUCGGACCUCACGCUAUCAGAUUAUCCUAUGUCGGAUUACCUAGUUGGUGGGGUAAAGGCCUACCAAGGCCACGAUCCCUAACUGGUCUGAGAGGAUGAUCAUGCACACUGGAACUGAGACACGGUCCAUACUCCUACGGGAGGAAGCCGUGGGGAAGAUUGGACAAGGGGCCAAAGCCUGAUCCAGCCAUGCCGCGUGUGUGAAGAAGGUCUUCGGAUUGUAGUGCUCUUUAAGUUGGGAGGAAGGGCAGUGAGUUAAUACCUUGCUGUUUUGACGUUACCAUCAUAAUAAGCACCGGCUAACUUCGUGCCAGCAGCCGCGGUAAUACGAAGGGUGCAAGCGUUAAUCGGAAUUACUGGUCGUAAAGCGCGCGUAGGUGGUUCAGCAAGUUGGAUGUGAAAUCCCCGGGCUCAACCUGGGAACUGCAUCCAAAACUACUGAUCUAAAGUACGGUAAAUGGUGGUGGAAUUUCCUGUGUGGCGGUGAAAUGCUUAGAUAUAGGAAGGAACACCAAUGGCGAAGGCGACCACCUGGACGGAUACUGACCUUCAGAUGCAGACAAACAAAUGCACA